Molecule: transfer RNA, 72 nt
Filed under: Phocaeicola dorei
Lineage: Bacteria; Pseudomonadati; Bacteroidota; Bacteroidia; Bacteroidales; Bacteroidaceae
Description: tRNA-His
Rfam family: tRNA
About the family: Transfer RNA (tRNA) molecules are approximately 80 nucleotides in length.
Source: RNAcentral
GGGUAAUUGGUCUAAUGGUAAGAUGGGCGAUUAUGUAAUUGUAGGAUAAAGGUUCGAAUCCUUUAUUACCCA